This 496-nucleotide ribosomal RNA is filed under the name uncultured bacterium. Its description in RNAcentral is "partial 16S ribosomal RNA". It matches the Rfam family "Bacterial small subunit ribosomal RNA", at positions 28 to 507 of the family's 1533-position model. The record is from RNAcentral.
GAUGAACGCUGGCGGCGUGCCUAUACAUUCCAAUCGGGGCAACCGAACAGGAGCUUUCCCCCUCUGAGUUAGCGGCGGAAGGGUGGGUUAACCGUGGAAAACCCUCCUAUAAGAACGGGGUUACCUUGGGAAACCCGGACCAAAACCGGGAAAAUAUUUUAACCCCCAUGUUUAAUAAUUAAAAACGGUUUUUGCUUUACUUUAUAAUUGGACCGCGCCGCAUUAGCUAGUUGGUAAGGUAACGGCUUACCAAGGCCACGAUGCGUAGCCGACCUGAGAGGGUGAUCGGCCACACUGGAACUGAGACACGGUCCAGACUCCUACGGGAGGCAGCAGUAGGGAAUCUUCCGCAAUGGGCGAAAGCCUGACGGAGCAACGCCGCGUGAGUGAUGAAGGUCUUCGGAUCGUAAAACUCUGUUAUUAGGGAAGAACAAAUGUGUAAGUAACUAUGCACGUCUUGACGGUACCUAAUCAGAAAGCCACGGCUAACUACGUG